This 23038-nucleotide long non-coding RNA is filed under the name Malus domestica (apple). RNAcentral describes it as "long non-coding RNA (MDOM_LNC013488)". Lineage: Eukaryota; Viridiplantae; Streptophyta; Magnoliopsida; Rosales; Rosaceae. The record is from RNAcentral.
GGAUAUCUAUAUGUGUUAUCCAUAGAAGCAACCUUGAGAAUAACGACGUCACCAUUAUACAUGAUUCUCAAUCAUGUGGUUCAGUCUCUCAUUUGAGUUCGGAUCUUGAUGAGACCUUGAUUCCCAGGCUUGAGCUAUCGCCCCAGUGUUAGUGUCAUACACUUUCUGGUUGGAACCGAAUAGAGAGUUCAUAAAUGAACUUUCCCAUCCAAACAACAUUGUUGUAAACUUCUAUAUGGCAAUAUAUCUUGCAUUCAUAAUGGAACACACUAAAGUCAUUACUUUAAUGUUUCCAUCCAAAUAUCUCUUUAGUCAUAAUAAAGAGAUAUUCGUUUAUCUCUUCAUUCAUAAUGAAGAAACAUCCAAUGAUGGAUUAGAUUCAUAAUCUAAUACAUUUACGCUUCCAUUACGUUACUCUAAUUCUUCCUCGAUCUUUGAGGAAUUUAUCCUUUAGUAUUUCUUAAAUACUUAAGGACUCACUUGACAGUUGCCAUGGUUCUGAUCCUGGGCUUGCACUGAUAUCGUCUUGUACCGUUCUAGGUACAACUCAUAUCAAUGUUUUUCAUACAAUAUGAAAUACAUAAAUCACCUUUCUGCGUAUGCAUAAAGGAUUCUAUUUACGCAUUAUUUCUUUGGGAGUCAAAGGGUACGUUCCCUUUGAGAAGGGCAACUUGCUAGUCUCACUAGAAUCGUCCUUCUUAUUGAAGUUUAUCAUCAUAUGAGAAACUUCCUAGCAUCCAUUGUCUAUUAUUAGGGAUUGAUAUAAUCCAAUUAUAUCAUGAAAUAUAUCAUUAUAGAUUUCCAUCCCAUGUAUAUAGACUAUAUCUCCCAUAUAUACAUUCUAUCUUCAUAUAAUGUAUUAAAGUCAUAACUUUAACGAAGAAGUAUUCUUUUUCAUUUCCAAAAUUAAUAUAUCAUAUAUAUUUAAAUUUUUAGGAACAUGAUUAACUCCCACUAAUCUUUUGUAAACCUAGUAAACAAAAGAUUCAUUUACAUCUUUAUGAGAAAUCAAACGAUUUGAUCCUUUUUCUCAUAAAGAUGCAAAUAGCUCCCACUAGCUUGCUAAGAUCCAUGAUGGAUGGAUCUCUACAACUUACAUGUCUUGUGAUUUAUAGUUUUAGACAUAUAUUAUCAAGACUAUCUUAAUAAUGGUUUCGGAAACCCAUAUUAUGUCCAAACAUUGAAUCACCAUUUAGUUGUAGCUAGCAAUCUUCGAAUUAAUUGAAACUAAGACUACGUCAAAAAUGGUUUCCUUCAAAGUCAACCAUUCUCUUUGAUUGUAGUCACCUUAAGCUACCAAUUAGCUUAUGAAGGUUUCAUUAUUUCGGGUCAAAUGGUACUUUACCAUUUCCUUGAGUAUAUAUCGUAUAUGUACUCAAUGUAGUCAUAAAGUUCAAAACCAUUCAACUGAGACGGUUUAUAAAUCCUUAUCGACUACCUUGGAGCUUGUGGUAUAGGAACUAGGUUGUUAUAUUUGUUGAUUACUUAUCUUGUCUCUCAAAGAACCCAUUCUUUGAGUUUCUAUCUCUCGUUCAUUUGCUUUUAGGCAAAUCACAUUGUAGAGGAUUACAAUGAACUACCCAACAAAACAACAUUUGUUAGUUGGUUUAUAGAAGCGAUAUCCAAAAGUUAAUUUAAGGAUAUCCUACAAGAUUGUUAUCAAACAAAUAUUGCUUAUUAGCACACAACCCCAAAUCUUAACAUGCUUAAGAUUUGUCUUUCUUUCCAACUACAUCUUAUGGAGUCAUGAAAAAUAUUGGAAGAUCUUCUAAUUGACAAUCAUAUUGUUUUAGAAGUAUAUAUCCUAUAUAUGGGUAAUAGAUAACAUCUAACGAACUAAAUCUUAUUCGAGUUCGUUCUUCUCCUAAUGGAGAAAUAUAUUAUCUUAUGAUGCUAUUUUCCUUGAUAUCUUUCAAGGAAACUUAUCUAAAGUGUUACCUUUCCUUGGAUCAAAUCUAAGGAGGUAAAUACUUUAGAUGUCUUACUCAUCAACUUACAUUUACUUGAAUUCUUUGAAACCUUUUGCAAAGUAUUCGGACUUGUGUUUAUUCAAAAUAAACUAUAGUCCAACCGAGAGUGAUCUUCGGUGAAUGUCAUUCAACAUGAGUAGUAUUAUGUUUGUGGACAAGUGCCACUAACAUCUAAGUGAAUUAACCUCAACAACUUUGUGAUUCUUUCUUCUUUCCAAAAGAAUAAAGAUUCGAACAUUUCGCCUCUAUACAAUUUUAACAAGAAGGUAUUGGAUCCGGAUCUAACGAUCCAAAGCAUCCAUUUAUGACCAACUCGUAAUUUAUGUUUUAGAGGUAUCACAACUUUAGUUGGGAUUAGUCACUACCUUGCAACCUUUUGGGUUUUAAGCAUCAUUAUAUUCUAAACAGUUAACACUACCAUAUCAUCUCUACUAUAGAGACAAUCAAUUAGAUUACUAUAAUCCAAUUUCUUUGGUAGUUCAUAUGAGGAAGUAAGUACUAUCUGCUUUCGCAGAGAUCUAUAUCUUAUUCACGUUCCGUAUGUGAAGCACCUUUUUCUUCUCUCAUAUAUCUUCUACUUCUUAUUAGUCACACUUUUACAACGAUUUGUAAAACAUAGUUACUAAUACGGAAUCAUACAUUCAAGUAGAAGAACCAACUGUUUUGAACUAUUCAAGAACAUUUUACAACACCUUCGAAAGGUGUGUUCUUGACACUUGCAAGACAUUUCUUGCAAAUACCCCUUCCAUGUCCAUCUUUUCAUAAAGAAAGUUUGUUCCCUUGGAGUUAUUUAUCUUCUUCAUUUGACUUCUCCUUUGACUACAAUAGUCAUGGUCCCUAAACUCCCACUAUCUCUCUUGAAACCUUUUUUUCAAUUGUGUUAUACACAUCAAACAUUUUGGAGAGCAUGUGGUUUAUUGUUCACUACAUAGUUUACAAUAAGCUUAGUGAACGAUUAGGAUAGGGAAACAAAGGUGAAGUCCUUGCCUAGUUUCCGUCUCGUUAAGUGUUUUAACACUUCAACACUUAAUGAUUCAAAAUCAUCAUAAGUCCAUGUUAAUGGACUAUUUUUGUCAACCAACCAUUAUGUUCUAAACAUAAUUACAAACCUUCAAGAGUUGUACAAGGCAACUCUCAUUUCUUCAUACAACAAUUUGUAAAGUGAAGAAUCAUGGCACAUUAACGUGUCCAUGCCUUUGUGCUUUCUUCUCAAGUUCCUUGUUCAUGUAACAAAGAAACAAGCACUAAGUGUUUGCAUUGACUAAGGGUUGUUCAAAGCAACUCUUAUUUCUUCAUACAACAAUUUGUAAUUGAAGAAUUAUGACAUUUUAAAAGUGUUGUCCUCUUUAUGAUAGACCUUUUCUAACAUAUUCUUCUAAUGAUACAUUAUCAAUAGGAAGAUUGUGAGGAUGAGACUACUUAGGUACAUAUACAAUCCAUUUAAGACAAUUCUUUGGGAUUGUGUACCAAGUCCGGAAACUAAAACAUUCGGUUUUUAUUUGUCAAGUGUUGGAUAGCGUUUGCAAAUAUAUUGGUAAACAAAUACAUAACGAAUAUAAAUUGAUUGAUUUUAAGCCAUUUGAUUCGGGUCUUUAAAUCAAAAUAGCACCACCCACUAUUUUUGGCAAAUUCCAUAUCCCUCAUUGGAAUUCGAGAGUUUUGGAUGAAACUCUUAGUAGGUUAUGGGAGGACUCACUAUUACCAAGCCCACCUCAGAAUGAUAUGAUAUUGGCUAGCAACAAUAAUAAUGAGAGAGUACGCUUACUCAUUUGCAACUAAUGCAAGUACCCAUCUUAUUUGGCCUCUAGAGAAUGAUGCCUCACAAUGAUAUGAUAUUGGCUCCAUUGCACUUAGUUAAGUCAUUCCCACCAUGCUUAGUUCAAGUAGGGGUUCAAGAAUAGCCUCAGAAUGAUAUCCAUAUUGGCCAUCACUCGUUGCCUACCUUUCACUUUCAUCAUGUUUAUAGGCUUCCUCCUGAAUGUAAGCACAUGCACUUUGCAACCCCAUGAACUAGGGUGAAUACGGUGUACGAGUCACAAACGAUUGGAGCCCACCACGGUGGAAGGCCACGAAAGAGUGUUCUAAAGCACUCUCACGCUUAUCAACUUAAUAAUGGUUUGGUUGAGGGUUUUAGGUCUCAUCACAUAUAAAUAUACAUUUUAAUCUCUAUUAAAACAAUUUUGGUCCUAUUACAACUAUUGGUCCAUAUGAUUGUUUUAGUUGUAUAUAAUACUCCCACUAUGCUUUUAAAACGGUUUUUAAAGCAAGAGUAUAUGUUACUACUAACAUAAGGUUUGCAUUCAUUUGAUGGACUAUAUAGUUGCCUUAGGGCCUUAGGAUGACUAUGAACCUUUGUUUAGAUUCAACACGAGCCUUGUGUUGAAUCUCGGUCUAGGGAUGGGAGAUUGAUUUUAGUUACGCGUUUAAUCACAUUAAGGCGUGUUGUCUUAGGGGCGUUGGACCCAACUACUUCAUUUUCAUGCAUAUCAAUAUAAAGCAAGAAAGAAGUACUUCAAAGUAAAGGUGAGCUUAUGCUCAUUACAACAUUUGCAUAUAACAAAUUACUUUAAAGUAAAGAAGAGCUUAAGCCCUUUUACAACAACAUUUGAUCAAAUCAAAUUACAACCAAAAUCUAAUCUACACAUUCCCAUGGUUCAAACAAAUUUGAAACGGCCUUUCACAUAGCUCAAUUAUAUAUUAGGCUUAGGUUCAUAAUCACCCUUUAAUUAAUUAACACUUUAACUAAUUAAAUUGAAUGCAACAUUUUCAUUUGGUUUUUGUAUCCAUAAAAUUGAUUUAAAUGGAGCUAAACAAAAUGAAAAUCCAAUUCUCAUUUAAAGAGACAAAACAAUUUUGUUCUCAAUCCUAAUUUGGGCCAUCAUGCAAUAACCACAACCUUUUGGGCCAUAUUGCGAAAACAUAAACUUUUGGGGUCACUUUGUAAAAACACAAAAGUCCACUACUUCAUGUAAAUACAACUAGAACCCAAAAUUUAAAUAAAUGCAAAAACUUCAUUAAAGGAGCAAAACAAUUUGUCCUUUAGCGUUUUUGGCCUUAACGUAAAAACGUAAACUUUCGGGUCAUAGUACAAAUACACAAAAGUAUCAAAACUUUAUGUAAUUGCAUAAAAGCCCCAAAAAUACCCUAUUUUAAUAGGGUGGCCGGCCAUUUAGGGAUAAAAGGUGUGGUGUGUGUUUUGAUUUAUUAGUUUUGUCAAAAACAAUCAAGUAGUGCUUUCACCUUUCAUAAAAAAUAAUAUAUGUUUUGAUGAUUGAUAUUUCUUUCAUCAUUUAUACAAAUAUGUAACACUUUAAAUACUUUCAUAAAAAUAAUAUAUGUUUUGAUGAUUGAUGUUUCCAUCAUCAUUUAUACAAAUAUUUAACACUUUAAAUACAUGAUAAAUCAUUUGAAAAACAUAUAACAUAAACUUUAUGAAAUAAUCAAAACUUUGAAUCAAAACACAAAACCUUUUAGUUCUUGGCAAGAACAUCAAGAACAAUGAAGAACAUCCAUGAAAACCCAUAAGAGCUCCAUGAAUGUUUUUUCAAGCCAAAAAACUCAAAUUUUGACCAUUCAAAAUGAUGUUAACAUCCUAGGGUACUUAGGGGUUACAAAAGUCACCUUAAAACACUUUUAACAAGACAAACAAUGAACCCAAAAAAUCACCCUUUGGAUUUGGCCGAAAAUCCCCAAAAUCAUGGCACCAAAUUUUAGCUCCAAUAUUCAUGCUCAUAUGAACUACAUCUACAACAUUUGAGAGAUGGCAAAUUUUCAAACAAAAUUUACAUUCAAAGAAAGCAAGAAUAAAGCUUGUAACAAUUACAACUUUUAAAUCAUAAACUUAUGAACUACAAAACCCAAAAGGAUUCACCAACUACUAGACCUAGGCUCUGAUACCACUUGAAGGAUUUAUUUUGAAAAACAUGUUCAUUUGAGCAACAUCAUAUAGCAUGCAAUUAACAAUUAAAGGCGGAAUCAUGCUUGCAUGCACUUCAAAAACAAAACAUUACCAUGAAAUUCAAAGCCUAGUAGAUUGGUGAACCAAUAAUCAACUCAAAACAAAGUGAGUUGAAAUUAUUACCUUUGUAGAUUCCUCUUUGCAUAAGCAAAGGCUAAUCACCCAAAGAGAUAGGGCCUUCAUUCCUUGCUUCUUAGAUCCAUGGAUUUGGAUAGAAAAUAGGUUUCUCCAAGUUCCCAAAAUAGGGAACCUCUAAGUCUCUUCACCAAGGUUUGAUUGUAGAAGAAAUGAGUGACCUUGGAGUAGUAGGAUUGCUAGAUGUACCCUCCAAGGUGUUGGCCUCUUUAGAGAGAAAAUGGAGAGACAAUUCUCACCCAUUUUCACCCAAAAUAAACCCUUAAUCACCUUAAUGAAUAUUUGGCUAUAAAGUCCUUUAUAUAGUCACUUCUUUAAGUGACCUAAACAACCAAAACCCUAAUUCAUCACCAUAUGGCCGGCCACCUAAGGAAUUUUGGGCUUUUGGGCUUUAAUGAAUCUUUAUUCAUUAAAUUGUCAUACAACUUAAGUUAAUGGGCUUGACGUUCGAAGCCCAUUGGGCCUUAAGGUCCAAAACUAUCCCGAGGUCUUUAACGAACUUAUUCGUUUGAUUAAUUAACAUAUUAAUUAAUCCUUGCCAUAAAUAAAUGAUUAAACCAUUUAAUCAUUCUUACUCAUUUCCGUUUAAUCUCCAAUCUCUACCUUUUACGGUGUGCGAUCCAUUAGGUUCCUUUUAGCGAGGUAGUGGGCGAUUAAAAACCAUUUUACAUCGAUUGUGAAUUGAAACUAUUUUCAAUUCUCCCUUUAGUGAUUACACACGUUUAGGGCUUCCACAAACCAUGAGUGACACCUAGCAGCAUAUCAUGGUUACCCAAGCUAAUCAGAAGAGGUGGAGAACCUAUUCAGUUUCGGGAUUACAAAUGCAAUACGGUCCUUCUCUAAUCUAAUACUCUUGACCACAUUGUUUGGUUUGAUAGUUUAUUUACUCAUGUCUACUAUCCAAUGUGAUUCGUUUGCUUAUAUGAUUUCCUUGAAUGUGAUUUGGAACGCAUUCCCCAAUCUCAUUCAUACUCUGGCCAGAGAUUCCAAAUCAUAUCAUAGAGUAUUCUCCCUCAAAUUGUUUGAAGGUUAGAGAUCCCUUGUUGCGCAUUCACUUCUCUCCAUAGCUAAGUGGCUUAACCCCAACGAUGCCGUGGACACCCCGAAGGGGUGACUUUAGACAUAAUCAAAGAUUAAGGACUUAACCACAAGACAACUGUGAUGCCUCAGGUCAAAGGACUACUUUGCAUUAUCCCAACCAUGAGUUCUCAUGUGACAUGGAAUAUAAGAACUCUUCGUUGAUCACGUUCAGUGAACUCAUUCUCUUAUUGAGCACCUACGUACUUGUCUUGAUGUCACACACACCAAUGACUCGAGACUAGUCACUCUCCCUGAGAGAAGACACAGUACGUACUGAUCUUAACGGACUGUCAAUGCCCAAUUGGUAAUCCUAUGAUCAGGAACAUUUAGGAAGUGUCUACGAAAGAAUGGUCUCAUUAAUCUAACUUCAUUAGAUUGCAUUCUCCCAAUCACAUAUUCCUUGGACUUUAUCGUUUAAGCAUAUAACAUUUAUAUGAGACGACUCAAACAAUAAUCUUUGCCCUUUAUAUGUUAAACUAGAUUAGUUUAACAUUUGAAAUGUCCGUAAAGUAUCAUCAUAUGAUUGGUUUUAGGGCACAUUUCCAACAAGAAGAACAUGUGAUCACCUAUAAGAGUGGGUCGUCAAAAACACAAAUAUAUUUUCUUCUAAUGAGGAAAGGGGAUCGUAUAACUUGUAAGGAUUGCAAAGUUAUACCGGGAGAGAGCUUGGCUAAUCAACAUCGCUUGUUGGUGAUGGAUGUACAUAUCAAAAGAGUGAGAAAAAAGAACAAGACUUGGAAGUGCCCAAGGACUAGAUGGUGGAAUCUAAAAGGAGAAAAACAAGCCAUUUUCAUAGAGAAAGUAAUCACCCAGUGUGUGUGGGAUAGAGAAGGGGAAGCUAGCCAAAGGUGGGAUUCCAUGGGUUGUUGUAUCCGGAAAGUAGCAAAAGAGGUAUUAGGAGAGUCCAAGGGCAGGGUAGGAGAUAGAAAUAUUGGGUUGCCAAUAUUUCUAUUCAUUGUUUUUUUAUGUCAUUUUAAAUUUUCCAUUUGUUUUUGUUUUUCUGAAUUUUCUUGCAUGCUAAACUUAAUUAUUUCUUUUCUUUGUAGGAAAAUUUGAUCGUGUCCACCAUUGGAGUUGAUUGCAGAAUUGGAGUUAGGGGGUCAUUGCUUGCUUUUACUGAAAUUUGGGGAAGUUUUGAGUCCAAAUGCUUUGUUUUGUUUCUUAUUAUUUUAUUUUUAUUUUAUGCAUUAUUGUGUUUUCUGACAUUGGGGACAAUGUCCAGUUUAGGUUUGGGGGUAAGGAUUAAAAAAAUGACCAAAUAGAAAAUCCAAAAAAAACCAAAAAAAAAAAAAAACCAUAAAAACAUUCAGAAAAUCCAAAAAUCCAAAAAUAUUGUCUUGUUUUAUUUAUUGUUUUGAAUUAGAUUUUUGUUAGUUUCCCAGCCCAAUGAUAUUAUUGGAUUGAAUUUGAACCACGGGGAUCAAGAACUUAGUAAGCAUGUGUUGUGUGAAAUUCCUUAUUCUCUUGUUAGCCUUGUAUAUGUUUAAUCAUCUUUGAAAAGCCAAAUGCACAUAGGCUUGUUGAUGUGAAAUUAAAGCAUGACUUAAAGCUUCAUAUGUGAACAUAGUGACCAUAUACAGCCUAUGUGAGUUUUUGAGCCUAUUGAAAGUGUGUGCAUUUUUCAUACACUCAUAUUCUUUCAUGUGCGAUGAACUUAUGUGACUUACAUCUCUAGAAUUUGCAUAACGAUUUUUCGAAAUGUUUGUCAUUUGAUUGCAUGAACUUGAAAAGGAUAGAGGCAUUAGGUUUAUCACCAUGGCCCAAAUGAGCAUGUUUCCUGAAGAAAAAUGAUAUCAUUAGAUUGCCAAUUUGAGCCGUAUACGUUGAGCCUUUUAUUUCUUAUCACCUUAUAUGUCUACCCUUAUACCUUACACAUUUUUCCUUUCCCUUUCCAAGCUAGCUAGUGAGCAAUGUGAGAUUGUCUUAUGAGAAAUGUUUUGUGAAGUACUUUGAAGGAGUUUGGAAAAAGAAUAAGUGUGGGGGUAUUUCAUGUUUGUAUUUAGUUACGUGCAUAAUCGUUCAAAAAAAAAAAAAAGAAAAACAAAAGAAAAACAAAAGAAAAAUUGUAUACAAAGCAAAUAAAAAGUUUUUUUUUUUCUUCUAAGUUUCAGUUUAGGGGUGUGGUUGGAGGUAUUAGUAGAGUGGUUGGAGAGCUUGAGUUCUUAUAAAUCUCAACAAGAGAAUUGCUUGCAAUGUAGCUUGGAACUUGUGUUUACCUAUCCUUUCAUUUCAAUAACCCUCUUCCAAAGCCUCAUUACAUCCUAUAAAAGUCCUCUUGAUUUAAGUUUUGCAAUUAUGAUUGUGGAGAUGAGAUCUUUAUGCAAGCUUAUGGUAGAUCUUUCACAUUUGAUUCUUUGAGCGAAACACGUUAAACUAAACAUAUGUGUGAUUGAGUGUAUGUCCCGUGAGAAGGUCACUAGUUUGCAUGUGGUGUUUUAAAAAAAACUUGAAAUUGCAUUAGCAUGGCUAUUACACACACUACACUUCAAGGAUGAUUAAAAGGUUACUGCUAACAUUUGAAUAAGGAAGAUGAGCUUGGAUUAGCUUGUUUGGUGCUAGCUAAGGUUCUCGAUGAUUUGUUUUCUUGAAUGAAAUUCUAUGAGGUCACAUAGGGGGAAGCUAAUGUUUUUCAUGUUUUCUUUGUUUUGCUUGAGGACUAGCAAAAGCUAAGUGUGGGGGUAUUUGAUAAGCUCAGAUUUAUAUAUAUUUUACAUCAAAUUCACUUGUCUUUUCUUAGUUAGUUCCUUAUAUUUUUGAGCUAUUUACUUUGUUUUUUGUGUUUUGUGGGAUUUGUCAAGCAAAGAAAAGAAAAAUAGCACAAGUGAGAUUUUAAGUAACAAAUUCGUUAAAACUGCCUGUGCAGAUCAGCUGACUUUGGAGGCAAGUUUCGAACAUCUCAUAAUGAAUUAGAGAAUGAGCUUUAUAUUGGAAAGCUACAGAUGUCUAUUUUCUGGAGCAAAUUGCAGAUUAUUAAUAUCAUUUUGUCUAGAAGAAGUUAUGGCCAUUUUAACACUGAAAGGUUACCAAGAGGCUGAGCAGUUUGUAACUGAAAAGACUGCAAUGAAAGCAAUAAAUCCAAUAAAUCUAGCAACCAAAACUGAUGCAGCCAAGAACAAGUCAGCUAACACCUAUUCAAAUAUUAGAGGAAAUGGAAAUAGAGAUGAGAAUUAAGUGGGAGUAAUGGGCAUAAAGGCUACCUAAAGAGUUACAAUUGUUUUACCAUUUCCUCUCACUUAUUGUCAUCACAAAAUGGCUGCUAGUGGGGUGAGUUAUGGAGAAGAAACCUAGGGUAGCAAGCAAGAACAAAAAGGCUGCAGGUUGCAGCGGCAAAGAGGGGAGAAAAAAAAUAGAAUAGAAGGAAAAGGCAAGGCAGCAAUGUUAGGGAAGGAAGGAAAGGAAGGAGGAAAUCUUGGCAUUCUCUUCUUUCGGUCUUAUCUUCUCAAACUCAUGUCUUUCUUUUGGUUUUAUUUGAUAAUAAUGUCUAACUAAAUUUUUAUUAGUUAGGGGAUGUUUUGAAGCCCCAAAUGUGAUUGCAAGUUUGUUAUGACAUUUCGUUUGAAUUACUUUUAUGAAUGGAUGAAAAUUGGUUCACUACUUGUCUCAUUGAUGAAUAUUUUUUCUAUGGAUGCAUACUUAGUAAGCAUAUCUAGGAUUCUAACGCUAUGAAUAUGUGUGUGCCUGCCCUUGUCAAAUGAGGACCUACAUAUGUUCUAGAGUAGUACUUGUUAAUUGCGAUUAACAUGUGAACCAACGCUAGUACGUACGAUGCCUUGUGUUGACUAAAACUCUUUUUGUUCUUAAUGAUUUCUACGUGUCAAAUCUAUGAACACGCCAUUCUAGAUUGCAUGCUAGGAACUAAGUUAAGUUGAAAACGCCAUUCUCUUAAUAUACUACAUAAGAAAGAGUAAUAGCUUGAGUUCUAACAUUGAGCCAACUUGAGCAUCUUCGUUCGGAAAUAAAAUGAAUUUGAAUGAAACAUAACAUGUCUGCAUCAUUAUUUGGUGGUGGAUAGGAAUUCCCCUAACUCGUUUUUCUUAAUUUGUGAACUACUUAAAAUUUGUUUCUGUCCUGUUUUUCUUCACUUUAAUUUAAAUAGCAAAUCAACUCCAAAAAUCCCAAAACAUUGUGUAAGUGUAGCCCUGUGUCUCUAGUGUUUCCAUAUAAAAUUUCAUAGACUUUAGAUAAGCGUAAGUCAGUCUAAUAAUUAAUUUUCGGUGGCUGGUCAGUAGGGACAUCAGUCCAGUUUUUGUGACAUUUUAAGUAGUUAGAUAAAACAAUCUUCUGCAGGAAAGACCCUUAUUUUCAUAUGCUACAAUUGACAAAUCUUAGCUUUGAUAAAAAAAAUCAAUAGGACAUUUGUGUGCUACUUUGUACUGUGCUUUUAAUCCGAUCCACAAUGCCCCAAAUUAAUUGUGAACAACACUAAUUAACUCUCAAAUUUUCCUAAGUUCAUUGAAUUGGACUCUGCAUGAUAGAGAUACAUCUCAAAGAUCAUUAAGUUCUAUGAAAAUCAUAAGCAUUGACAAAGCAUUCGUAACUAUGAAAUGCAUGAUACUCCUGCCAAGAAUUUACUUAACUCAAUCACGACUAGGUGAAAUUUGCGGCAACAAUGUGUAUAUAUAUAGGGCAAAGGGCAUGGCUAAACCGUAGGGAGAAUUCACUCAAUUCCUCACCGGAUAUACUCUAUAUUUUCACACAGAUUUUCUGAGGACACUCCCUAUACUAAGUAUAUGUGAGAAGAUUGAUGUAAACAUGUAGACUAGCACUCACAUGUGUUAUAACAAAGAAGACACUUUCUGGAAUUAUUAAUACAAACAUGUAUAUGAUCUCAUGAACAGAAUGCCACUACUUAGAAGUGAGAACCAGGGAUUCCAUAUGUUCGUACCAAUUUCAAACUCCACAUAUUGAAUCACAUAACAAUCAAGAUAAAAGUGUAAGGGUUGUAAUGGGGCUAAAGUAUUGGCUAACAAAGAAAGGUUAAGGAUAAACAAAGGUUCUUAACGUGAUAAUAAGCAAAGUAAUGAAAUCAAUACUUAGAAUUCAACUUUUGAUUGCAGCACCCAACUUUAAACAAAAAGAGGAGAUUCGUACAACUUUAGGGUCAAAUUCCUAUUUUUGGACCCUUCUUCAACAACCAAAAUUUAUGAACUCAUUUUCAACUUUUUUUUCUUCCUCUUUUUUUUCUUUUCUCAACUUUUUUUUUUUUUUUUUUUUUUUUUCUGUUUCUAUUUCAACGUUUUUUUUUUGAAACAUAAAACAUAAGCACUACUUCACCGGAUUCAAAAGAACAAAUCUUUCCCCCACACUUGUUUUUCUGCAAAUUGUAGAUCAUAAGGAAUUCCCAACAAGUCAUGCUGCACUAUUCUUUAAGAACAAGGGUAUGGAUAUUCCUAUACAAGGCUAGGUAGGGAUAAUGCAGCCUAACAAAGAAAAUAGGCUAAAUAAGGCUCAAAGGGGUUAAACCUACAAUACAUAAGCAAGGGAUAAGGCUUUUUGGCUCAGGUGGUAACUAAACAACUUCAUCUUGUUAUUUGUUAUGCAAUCAAUUUUAUGCUUUGAAUGAAACGGGCAUAAGUUCUAGUAUUAGGAACUAAAAUGAUGAAAAAGCAUUAUAAGUAGCAACCAAGCAAAUAAAUAAUAAGAUCAUGCAACGACUUUAUAAAACAAGAAUAUCACAGAUUAAUAACUCUCCAAACAAAGAAUAAGCUCAAGUCUCACAGUGUUGUAGCGUUAGUUUGAGUUUCUUCCUUCAAGCAUGUUAUAAAAGCUGAUUUUUUUUUUCUCUUUGUGAUUACAUGUGAAUUUGUAAAUGAUAACUACAACUAAGUAUUAACCAAAGAGCAUAUCAAACUUCUACCCAUGUUUGUAACUUUCUUUAACAGUCAUGUAAUUAAAAACCAAAUCCUCAUCAUUGUGUUGGAAGGUACCCCAAGACACAAAAAAAAAAAAAAAAAAAAUACUCUUUUUGGUAUUUUCUCAAAAAUUUUCAAAUUUUUUUUUUGUUUCCAAUUUUUUUUUUAUGAUACACAAUAAAACACUUUAAAACAGUGAAUAACAACAUUAGUAGUGAUAGGUGGUGAAAUUCGUAGAGAAAUCAUGACAAGCAUUAUGUUUACCCCCCUCCCCCACACUCAAACCAAACAUUGUCCUCAAUGUUUCAAAAAUAAACUUAAACAGAAAAGCAAUAUAAAGAUAACUAGCAAACAAGACAAUCAUGGCAAAGUAAAAACAACAAAGAGAAGGGUAAAAGAGAGCAAAUCUAGUUGCAGGAGCUAGAAAUUCCAUGGUCUCUUUAUUUGAACACAUGGGUUGCCCCCUAAGAAGUGCUUGCUUUAACGUCUUCCAGCCAGACGGUACCUCCAUUUAAGCUCACUAGGACCAACGGCAUGGAGAGGUACAUCCUCCACGACAUGCUCCUCAAAACACUUAUAGUAAGGCUUCAAACGGUGUCCAUUCACUUUGAAUUCUUGUCCCUUCUUUAAACUUUGAAUUUGGACUACACCAUAGGGAAAGACAUUAGUAACAACAAAAGGACCAAUCCAUUUAGAAUGCAACUUAACUGGAAACAAUCGAAGGCUGGAAUUGAAGAGUAACACUUUUUGCCCUACAGAAAAUGUCUUACUACGGAUCAUCUUAUCAUGGACAACCUUUGUUUUCUCCUUGUAAAUAUGAGCGUUCUCAUAAGCCUCAUUCUGAAUUUCCUUAAGCUCUUUUAAUUGUAACUUUCUGUGAAGACCAGCAGCAUCAAUGUCCAUGUUGAAAGUCUUGACUGCCCAAUGUGCACGAUGCUCUAACUCAAUUGGAAGGUGACAUGGCUUCCCAUAAAUGAGACAAAAAGGAGACAUUCCAUUUGGUGUUUUGUAGGUAGUACGAUAUGCCCACAAUGCAUCAUUCAAACGCAAGCUCCAAUCCUUUCGAGUUGGUCCAACUGUCUUUUCCAAGAUUUGCUUGAUUUCCUGGUUAGAAACUUUGGCUUGCCCACUUGUUUGAGGAUGAUAAGGUGUCGAAACCUUAUGUGUGACAUUGUACUUUUUGAGCACCCUCAUCACUUAUAAUUACUCGCGGCAUUCCAAACUUGGCAAAUAUGUUAGUUUUGAAAAAAUCUGCAACCACUUUGGAAUCAUUAGUACAUGUGGCUUUUGCUUCCACCCAUUUCGAAACAUAAUCUACAACAAGUAAAAUAUAAUUGAAACCAUGAGAGGAAGGAAACGGACCCAUGAAGUCAAUGCCCCAAACAUAAAAAAUCUCAAUAAAGAAUAUAGGAGUUUGCGGCAUUUGGUCUCUUGAACCUAUAUUGCCUAUUCUUUGACAAUGAUCACAUGUCAUGCAAAAGAUUCUAGCAUCCUUAAAUAUAGUAGGCCAAUAAAAUCCACAUUCUAAAACUUUAAGUGUUGUUCUUUGAGUACCAAAAUGACCUCCAUAAGCAUAAGUGUGACAAAAAGUUAAAAUUUAAUUGAAUUCAGAAUCAUGCACACCUAUGAAUAAUUUGAUCAGGGCAAUAUUUCCACAAAUAAGCUUCAUCCCACACAUAAAAACAUGCCUCUGUUUUUUAGUUUAUCACAUUGGUGCCUAUUUAUGGUGUUUGUAACUUGUUUAGACACAAUAUAAUUCACAAUAUCAGCAUACCAUGGCUCACUUACCUUAAUGGUCAGCAGUUGUUCAUCUGGGAAUGCCUCUGGAAUAGGUAGAGGGUCUUCUUCAUGUACCAAACGACUCAAAUGGUCAGCUACUACAUUCUCACUUCCUUUUUUGUCUCGAAUUUCGACGUUAAACUCUUGGAGAAGAAGCAUCUAGCGAAUAAGCCUUGGCUUGGCUUCUUUCUUUGUGAAUAAGUACUUCAAAGCUACAUGGUCAGAGUAGAUUAUAACUCUAGUUCCAAGUAAAUAAGAAUGAAACUUAUCUAAAGCAAACACAAUAGCAACGAGUUCUUUUUCAGUGGUGGAGUAAUUCAAUUGAGCAUCAUUCAAGGUCCGAGAAGCGUCGUAGAUGACAUGCGACUUCUUGUCCUUUCUUUGUCCCAAAACAGCCCCUAAAGCGUAAUCUGAAGCAUCGCACAUAAGCUCAAAAGGAAGACUCCAAUUUGGUGGAACAAUGAUAGGUGCCGAAGUUAGCAUCUUUUUGAGGUGAUUGAAUGCCUUCACACAUUCUUCAUAAAAAACAAACGGCACAUCCUUUUGUAGAAGUCGGCACAAGGGUGUUGAAAUCUUUAAGAAAUCUUUGAUAAAACAUCUAUAGAAUCCUGCAUGUCCAAGGAAAGAACGAACCUCUAUCACCAAAGAGGGAGAGGGUAAGUACCGUACAAGAUCAAUUUUAGAUUUAACCAUUUCAAUUCCCUUUUCUGAAACUAUAUGACCUAAAACUAUGCCUUGUUUUACCAUGAAGUGACAUUUUCCGCAAUUGAAAACAAGGUUAGUUUUGAUGUAACAUUUCAAUAUCAAAGUGAGAUUAGUUAGACAAUCAUCAAAAGAGUAACCAAAGGCACUAAAAUCAUCCAUCAAAACUUCAAUAAUCUUUUCGACAAAAUCGGAAAAAAUACUUACCAUGCAUCUUUGAAAUGUGGAUGGUGCAUUACGUAAACCAAAUGGCAUUCGACGAUAAGCAAAAGUACCAAAUGGACAAGUAAAAGUAGUCUUUUCUUGAUCAUAUGGAGCUAUAACAAUCUGAUUAUAUCCCGAAUAACCAUCAAGAAUGCAAUAAAAAGAAUGACCAGCUAACCUUUCAAGCAUUUGAUCAAUGAAUGGUAGAGGAAUAUGGUAUUUCCUUGUGGUGGUGUUGGGCUUCCUAUAGUCAAUAGAAAAUGUCCAACCUGUUUGGAUACGAGUGGGCAUAAGUUCAUUCUCUACAUUCUUUACCACAGUGACUCCAAAUUUCUUUGGUACUACUUGAACCGGUGAAACCCAACGACUAUCUGAAAUUGGAUAAAUGACUCCACAAUCAAGAAGCUUGAUGAGCUCCUUUUUCACAACUUCCAUCAUUGCAGGGUUGAGUCGGUGUUAGGCCUCUCGAGUUGGUUUAGCCCCCUCCUUUAGAAGUAUGUGAUGCAUGCAGGUUGUAGGACUUAUUCCCCUAAUGUUGGCCAAAGUCCAUCCAAUGGUUGUUUUGUACUCUUUCAACACCCUAACCAGUUUCUCGUCCUCUAAUGCCGUGAGCGUUGAAGUGACUAUGACUGGCAAAGUCUCUUUGUCUCGCAAGAAAAUAUACUUCAAAUGAUUCGGUACCAGUUUAAGCUCAAGAGAGGGUGCCUGAAUCACUGAAGUUAACAACUUAUUAGUAGAAAUGGAAAUUGGACUUGGGAUUGGAGGCUUACCAAUAUGUUGUGGCAAAGACUCAAGGGCAACCACCAUCUCUACAAUUUCUGCAUAAUUAGGCUUGGUCAUAUUGAUUUUGAGUCCAAUUCCUUCAACAAUGGUUUUUUUCAAGGGCAUCCCUAUUUAAGAAUUAAAGAUAUUCAUGCGCCCAAGAAUCAAAUACAUCCAUAGAAAAAUAAGAAUGAUCAUCAAUAGGAUACGUUAUAGCUUCAGAAAUAUUAAAGUCAAUGACAUCGCCAUCAAAUUCCAUUGUUAACGUCCCCUUGAACACAUCUAUCUUGGUUUGGGCUGUUUUUAUGAAAGGUUUUCCAAGCAAGAUUGGCAAUGGUGUAGAAUGGGCCAAAUCUUCCAUCUCAAGCACAUUAAAAUCUGCUGGAAAGAUCAAGUGGUUAACCUACACCAAAACAUCUUCCAAAACUCCUUUCGGAUAUGCAUUAGAAUGAUCAGCUAAUUGAAUAAUAACACCAUUGUUUUUAAGCUCUCCAAGAUUCAUAAAUGCAUAGAUCGAGUAAGGCAUGACAUUAAUGGAAACACCUAAAUCUAACAUAGCAUGUUCAAGCUUGGUAUUACUAAUAACACAAGGGAUUGUGAAACUACGUGGAUCUUUGCAUUUAGGUGGCGGUUUUCUUUGCAACGCUGCAGAGACAUUUUCACUUACCCGUACCACUUCCUUUCCUGAGAUUCGUCUCCUUGUUGUACAAAGCUCUUUAAAAAAUUUAGCAUGCUUUGGAACUUGCUUUAUUGCAUCAAGAAGUGGGAUAUUGACUUGUACCUUCCUGAAGGUUUCUAAGAUGUCUUUUUCAUUCUUUUCUUUCUUAGAUUGCAUAAACUUGUGAGGGAAAGGCACAGUUGGUGGAAUAGGGUUAGUAAGAAUUGAAUUUGAACCCACCUUACCUAAAUUGGGUGGCUUAGGAGCCUUAAAAGGUUGCGGCAAAGACUGUUCUUCUCUUGCCGUGGCCUUGUCCUCCUCUUAUUCUUCGGGCAUAGUUUUUGUUGGCAUUGGUUUAGCCACUUCUCAAUGGUUGAACUAGGUAGUUUGCCUUCUCAAAUUUUUGCCAUCUGCCCAAUUUGAUUCUUCACUUUGUCUUUGAUUUGAUUUUGUUUCAAAGCAGUUAUUGGAAUCCAUUGACACAUAUGUUUUUGAUAGAGCCCAGGAGUGGCUGUCUAUAUUCAUGUUGAGUGUGUUGAGUGUGUUGAGGCUCCCUCCACUUCAUAUUUGGAUGAUCUCUCUAGGCCGGAUUAUAGGCGUUGGAAAACGGGUCAUUCCUUGGUUGACUUUGGCCUUGAUAACCUAUGGCAUUGGUCUCUAUUAAUUGAGGACAUUGAUCAGUAAGGUGUCCUUGCAUGCAUCACGCCAUCACUUUGGACAACCAUUUGAGCCAUUUGAGAUUGAAGUUCUGAAAUAGCACUUACCUCAUUGACUUGGAUUGGGCGUGCAUGCUUUCUUUCUCCAACUCCGUCAUAUUGUUGUGCAUUCAAGGCUCGAUUUACCAUUAAGAUCUUCGUAGCAAUGGUGUUUUGUCAACCAAAGCACCUCCUGCUGAAGCAUCAAGCAUUUGUCUCUCAAGUGGAAGUAGUCAUUCAUAGAAAUAUUGAAUUAAAAGCUCUUCCUUCAUUUGAUGUUAUGGACAAGAUGCAACUAAAGUCUUGAAACGCUCAUAAUACGUUGGAAAGGAUUCUCCUGGGCCUUGCUGAAUGACUCUUGAACUUGGGAAGAAUUUCUCUAGAAAUGCUUUCUAAGAAGUGAAUUUUCAAAGAGAGUUUAGACUAUGGAAAAGAAAUUGUGUCAUGCUCGAGAAGAUGCUUGUUUGAAUCUUCCAUGGUAUUUCGGAAUGUGAUGCAGCAAACUAGACUUCAAUUCAAAUCAUGUUGUUUUUGAAUAGAACAAUAUUGUCUAAUCUCGAGGCUGAAAUUCGGAUUGUUGCUUGUUCCUCUUCCGAUUCUGUUUUAGUUCAGCUUCAAAUUCGGAUUCGGAACUAGAACAUGGCUGAUUCUGUUCGUUCAAAAUAGUCGUCAAAUUCUAAUAUAUUCUCACAAACAGGUUGAGAUCUUUGAGAAUGAAGCUAAAUCAGAAACACAAGAAAAGACACGAACAUAAACAAAGGGGAAGAUUAGCAAUUUUGCUAAUCCCCGGCAACGACGCCAAAAUUUGAUGUGGUAGAAACUAACACACAAAUUAAACCCUAUAAAUUAUGCAAUCGUAGUAUGAGUAAGUAGGGAUCGUUCUAUUCCGGGGAUUAGAAGGGAUGCUAAUCAACACAAAUUAAACUUAUAAAACUGAAAACUAAGUUAAACUAACAUCAAAACAAUGAGGGGGGAGAUUUUGGUCGAAUUUAAUUAAAACAGUAAAUGGCAGCAAAUAAAUUAAGUUGUGAAUGAAAUAUGGGUGAGAGGAUAGCUAGAGGAUUCUUCUCCACACAUGAAACAUAUGCAUACAAAUCGAUUUCCAGUUAUUCUUCCUAUAGACCAUGAAUGCCAAUGCCCAAAAUUCAUUGAAUUGGACUCAGCGAUGCUACCAAAUUAUUCAACUUGAGUUCCCUAACUAUGAAAACAUGUUCAUUUAAGCAACAUCUGUAAGCAUGCAAUUAACAAUUAAAGGCGGAAUCAUGCUUGCAUGCACUUAAAAACAAAACAUUAACCAUGAAAUUCAAAGCCUAGUAGAUUGGUGAAUGAUCGGAUCAUAUUUAUAUAUAUUUUUACUUCAAAUUCACUCGUCUUUUCUUAGUUAGUUCCUUAUAUUUUUGAGCUAUUUACAUUAUUUUUGUGUUUAUAGGAUUUGUUAUGCAAAGAAAAUAAAAAUGGCACAAAUGAGUUUAAAUAAUAAAUUCGUCGAAAAUUGCUUUAGUCAUUCUCAUUCUAUCAUGGGUUAUUGGUAGAAUUAUGUCACGGAUUAUAGGCCAAUUCAUGAUAAUUAAUUAUUUCUUUCAUGUUUCAGGUGGGAUGUAGGGAUGCCGAGUUUGGUGAAAACUAGUGGGGAGAAGAUUAAUAAUAAGCUGUGCUUGGCAGCGUGGAAGAAAGAAAUAUAUAAUAGAAGCUGCCUUUGCAGCUAGUGGGAGCACAAAGAAAAAGAAAAGAAUAAAGGAAAGGUGUGUGUGCAGCGUGACAAAGAAAACGAAUGAGGAAUAAUAGCUGCUUGUGCAACGUGGUAGGUGGAGGAAACUAAAAUAAGAAAGUGGCCACGAUUCAAUCCGGAGGAAAAAAAGCUGCUUAGUGCAGCGGAAAAGAAAAAUAAAUAAAACGCUGCCUGCGCAGCACAAGUGGGAGCUUGGGGAAGAACGCUGCCCUUUGGCAGCGAGGUCAGAGAGAAGAAGCCAAGUCCACGGAACGCAGGGGUCUGGGAGCGGGAGAAAGGGGCUGCCCUUUGGGCAGCUCGCAGAGACGCAGGAAGGAGAGAAGCUCGCAGAGAGCGCAGGAGGCGCAGAAAAGACGCGGGAGUGAGAGGCGAGGAAAUAAGGCAAGCAUGGGCACGAACGCAGCAGAUCCUCUUUCGGUUUAAUUUUUCCAAACUUCUCUUUUAUUUCUGUUUUUAAUAAUGUGUAAUUAAAUUUAUUUUGGCUAGAGGUUAAUUCAAAGCCAUGAAUAUAUUUGUAAUAUGAAUUGAUUACCUUCAGUUGUGAUUUCUGAGUUGUGAUUUAAUUUGCUUAACUGCUUGAUUGAUAACUUAUUUUUGUAUGUCGAUUAAGGAUGCAUACUUAAUUUACAUGCAUGAAUUUGAUGCUAGAAUAUAAGUGAAUUUCACCUAAUCGUUAUGAACUUAUAUUCACAAGUAGUGAAGGUUGCUAGUCACAAUCGGGUUAAGUAAAUUCUUGGCAUAAGUUUCAUGCAAAUCAUAGUAACGAGUGUCUCGUCAAUGCUUAUGUUUUUCAUAGAACUUAAUGAUUCUUGCUUGUAUCUCUAUUAUGCAAUUCAUGUAGGGAACUUGUAGGGAAUGUUUUGGGUUGUCGUAUGCAAUCAUCCAACCCAAUAACUUGUGGAAAAACUGAGGGUUAAAAAAAGUGUUGUUCACGGUUAAUCUGGAGUAUUGAAAUUCACAAUUUAUUGAAAGAACAACUGAAAAUCAAUUUAGGUUGCAUAUGUGUCAUGUGUAGAGAAAAACCCUCUAGCUAGUCUGUCAUUUAUCAUGUUACCUUAAUUUUAUGUUUUUGUCAAUUCUGAAAUUUAAUUAAGUUUAAUUUACUUUUCAUCAAAACCAAACACCCAUCCAUUAUUAAAUUAUAUUAUUUAGUUAGUUUUCUUUAUUGUUAGUCUUUUAAUUUAAUUUCCGUCCAUUUCAGUUCCUAGUGUUUAAUUUGAUUGUUUUCAUUAUUUUGAGUCAUUUUAAGUGUGUUUCGAGUUAUUAGAGUUUUUAGCCUAGUUUUGUGUCCUUGAGUCUUAUUUAAUAUUUUUAAAUUAAUUUAGAAUAGAUUAGCAAUCCCUCCUAAUCCCCGGCCUAGAACGAUACCCUACUUACAUAUAUACUACAAUUGUCAAAAGAGGGUUUAAUUUGUGUGCUUAAUAAUAUUUCGCAUCAGUGAACCAAAACUCAACUCAAAACAAAGUGAGUUGAAAUUGUACCUUUGUAGAUUCCUCUUUGCAUAAGCAAAGGCUAAUCACCCAAAGAGAGGGCCUUCAUUCCUUGCAUAAUAAAUCUAUGGAUUUGGAUAGAUGAAUAGGUUUCUCCAAGUUCCCAAAAUAGGGAACCUCUAAGUCUCUUCACCAAGGAGAGAUUGGAGAAGAAAUGAGUGACCUCGGAGUAGUGGGGGUGCAUCUUAGGGAACCUCUAAGUCUCUUCACCAAGGAGAGAUUGGAGAAGAAAUGAGUGACCUUGGAGUAGUGGGAUUGCAAGAUGCACCCCCAAGUUGGCCGGCCUCUUUAGAGAGAAAUGGAGAGACAUGUUCUCUCCAAUUUUCUCCAAAACAAACCCUAAUGAAUUUUAGGCUAUAAAGUCAUAUUUAUACCUUUAUUCAUUUGAGUGGCAAACUUGUAAAUAAGUCCAAGUUCACUACCCUUAGCAUCAUGGCCGGCCCUAGGGUAUUUUUGGGCUAAUUAGGCCUUUGUGAAUCAUUAUUCAUUAAGUUGUCAUACAACUUAAGUCAAUGGGCUUGACAUUCGAAGCCCAUUGGGCCUUAAUGUCCAAAACUAUCCCGAGGUCUUUAACGAACUUAUUCGUUUGAUUAAUUAACAUAUUAAUUAAUCCUUGCAAUAAAUAAAUGAUUAAACCAUUUAAUCAUUCUUACUCAUCUCCAUUGUUUCUUCAAUCUCCACCUUACACGGUGUGCGAUCCAUUAGGUUCCUUUUAGCGAGGCAAUGGGCGAUUAAAACCAUUUUAUAUCGAUUGUGAAUUGAAACUUACUUUCAAUUCUCCCUUUAGUGAUUACACACGUUUAGGGCUUCCACAAACCAUGAGUGACACCUUGCAGCAUAUCAUGGUUACCCAAGCUAAUCAGAAGAGGUAGAGAAAACCUAUUCAGUUUGGGAUUACAAAUGCAAUACGGUCUUUCUCUAAUACAAUACUCUUGACCACAUUGUUUGGUUUGAUAGUUUAUUUAUUCAUGUCUACUAUCCAAUGUGAUUCGUGUGCUUAUAUGAUUACCUUGAAUGUGAUUUAGACCGACUUUUCUAAAUCUCAUUCAUACUCUGGCCAGAGAUUCUAAAUCAUAUCAUAGAGUAUUCUCCCUCAAACAGUUUGAAGGUUAGAGAUCCCUUGUUGUGCAUUCACUUGCCUCCAUGGCUAAGUGGCUUAACCCCAACGAUGCCAUGAACACCCCGAUGGGGUGACUUUGACAUAAUCAAAGAUCAAGGACUUAACCACAAGACAACUGUGAUGCCUCAGGUCAAAGGACUACUUUGCAUUAUCCCAACCAUGAGUUCUCAUGUGACAUGAGUAUGAGAACUCUUCGUUGAUCGCGUUCAGUGAACUCAUUCUCUACUGAGCACCUACGUACUUGUCUUGAUGUCACACACACCAAUGACUCGAGACUAGUCACUCUCCCUGAGAGAAGACAUAGCACGUACCGAUCUUGACGGACUGUCAAUGCCCAAUUGGCAAUCCUAUGAUCAGGAACAUUUAGGAUGUGUCUACGAAAGAAUGGUCUCAUGAAUCUAACUUCAUUAGAUUGCAUUCUCGCAAUCACAUAUUCCUUGGACUUUAUCGUUUAAGCAUAUAACAUUUAUAUGAGACGGCUCAAACAAUAAUCUUUGCCCUUUAUAUUAAACUAGAUUAGUUUAACAUGUGAAAUGUCCGUAAAGUAUCAUCACAUGAUUGGUUUUAGGGCACAUUUCCAACAAUCUCCCACUUGCACUAGAGCCAAUCAGCUUGGUCAUCAGUGAUGAUACCUCUUCUGUAGUCAUUUCAUAAAUGGAUGAAUAGUAGGCCUAGACAAUGGAUAUCUAUAUGUUAUCCAUAGAAGCAACCUUGAGAAUAACGACAUCACCAUUAUACAUGAUUCUCAAUCAUGUGGUUCAGUCUCUCAUAUGAGUUCGGACCUUGAUGAGACCUUGAUUCCCUGGCUUGAGCUAUCGCCCCAUUAGUGUCAUAGUGUCAGUACACUAGAUACACUUUCUGUUUGGAACCGAAUAGAGAGUUCAUAAAUGAAGUUUCCCAUCCA